AUGUCUAAGCAAAGAAGGCGGGGCGAGGAGGAUGAGGCCAACUACUACCACGACCGCAGCGGCAACAAGGAGAAGAGCCUCUAUCUGGUUCUAGACGACUGGCACAAGGGCUUCACCAUCCGCAAGAUCGAUGCCGACAGUCCUGACCUCAGCGCCUCCCCUGUCCUCCGGGUAGUGUCACCUGAGCGUGGCCGUGCCAUGAAGUUUGCAGCCCUGGGCGGCUACAUCAUUGCCACGAGCAACAUACAUGCCGGAACCCUCUUCUACGACACUGACACCGCCGGACUGGCCGUCGGCCCUCCCAUUCCAGAAGCACUGCUUUGUGGCUCCAACACCUUCCUGACCUCCGGCGCCGGUGACACGCUGUUCGCAUUCGCCUUCGACUUCAUGGAGCGGCCUGUGUCCUUUGAGGCGAUGGCGAAGCCGCCACCGACGGAAGACGAUGACCUGCUGCCCACCGACUGGUCUUGGAGAAGCAUGCCGACGCCCUUCACCAAGGACGAGAUGAUCUUCUCCUACACGCUGCACCCGGACAGGCGCACCAUAUUCGUAUUCUCGUGGAGCAGGGCGGUCUACGGCACGUACUCCGUCGACACCAGGAGCUGCAAGUGGAGGCGCCAUGGGGAGUGGAUGCUGCCUUUCAGAGGCCGAGGCUACUUCGACGCUGAGCUAGACACAUGGGUCGGGCUGCACGAGGACGGCUACGUCUGCUCCUGCCAGGUUGCCUCCCGCAGCGGCGGCACCACGCAGCAGUCAGAGUGGAAGAUGGCCGACGAGCGUAGGAUGUGGAUCCCAUGGCAUUAG
RNAcentral lists this ribosomal RNA (804 nucleotides) under Triticum aestivum (bread wheat). RNAcentral's name for it is "partial small subunit ribosomal RNA". The record is from RNAcentral. Lineage: Eukaryota; Viridiplantae; Streptophyta; Magnoliopsida; Poales; Poaceae.